UGCGACGCUGGUGUAGGGCGCUCUUGGCGUUCGUUUAGGAGAAAGGGAGUUGUCAUGGCUCGAGUGUCUGUUCAAAAAAGAUCGUCGCGC
This 90-nucleotide transfer RNA is filed under the name Coriobacteriaceae bacterium CHKCI002. RNAcentral describes it as "tRNA-Glu". Lineage: Bacteria; Bacillati; Actinomycetota; Coriobacteriia; Coriobacteriales; Coriobacteriaceae. The record is from RNAcentral.